RNAcentral lists this ribosomal RNA (273 nucleotides) under Triticum aestivum (bread wheat). RNAcentral describes it as "partial small subunit ribosomal RNA". The record is from RNAcentral. Lineage: Eukaryota; Viridiplantae; Streptophyta; Magnoliopsida; Poales; Poaceae.
AUGGCCAUCACCAACAUCUACGCCCCCUCCUCCCGCCCCUUCAAGCACUCUUUUCUCACUGAGCUACUAGCUAUCGCCCAACCAGACGACUCGCCCUGGCUUCUUGUGGGAGAUUUCAACCUCCUCCGUUACCCCUCUCACAAAAAUAACGACACGUUUAGACAGUCUGAGGCCAAUGCUUUCAACCAAACUCUCAACGAUCUAGCUCUCAUCGAGCUUCCGCUUCUAGAUCGCCAGUUCACUUGGUCCAACAUAGAGCAACACCCACCCUAG